UAGCUCAGUGGUAGAGCACAUGCUUAGCAAGCAUGAGGUCCUGGGUUCAGUCCCCAG
Molecule: transfer RNA, 57 nt
Filed under: Camelus bactrianus (Bactrian camel)
Lineage: Eukaryota; Metazoa; Chordata; Mammalia; Artiodactyla; Camelidae
Also listed under: 1 other name
Rfam family: tRNA
About the family: Transfer RNA (tRNA) molecules are approximately 80 nucleotides in length. Their secondary structure includes four short double-helical elements and three loops (D, anti-codon, and T loops).
Source: Rfam by way of RNAcentral